GUUAUAUGGUCAAGUGACUAAGCGUGCACGGUGGAUGCCUUGGCAUCUGGAGGCGAUGAAAGACGUAGUAGCCUGCGAUAAGCUUCGGGGAGGUGGCAAACAACCUUUGAUCCGGAGAUCUCUGAAUGGGGAAACCCACCUGUCAUAAGGCAGGUAUCGUAUACUGAAUACAUAGGUAUACGAGGCGAACGCGGAGAACUGAAACAUCUAAGUACCCGCAGGAAAAGAAAUCAACCGAGAUUCCCUUAGUAGUGGCGAGCGAACGGGGACCAGCCCUUAAGCUGUUUUGUAGUUAGUAGAACGCUCUGGAAAGUGCGACCGUAGUGGGUGAUAGUCCCGUAUACGAAAACUUAUAAGCAGUGAAAACGAGUAGGUCGGGACACGUGUUAUCCUGACUGAAUAUGGGGGGACCAUCCUCCAAGGCUAAAUACUCCCAGAUGACCGAUAGUGAACUAGUACCGUGAGGGAAAGGCGAAAAGAACCCCUGUGAGGGGAGUGAAAUAGAUCCUGAAACCGUGUACGUACAAGCAGUGGGAGCCGACUUAGUUCGGUGACUGCGUACCUUUUGUAUAAUGGGUCAGCGACUUAAUGUUAGUGGCAAGGUUAAGCGAAUAGCGGAGCCGUAGGGAAACCGAGUGUUAACUGCGCGUCCAGUCGCUAGCAUUAGACCCGAAACCGGGCGAUCUAUCCAUGAGCAGGUUGAAGGUUGAGUAACAUCAACUGGAGGACCGAACCCACUACCGUUGAAAAGUUAGGGGAUGACUUGUGGAUAGGAGUGAAAGGCUAAUCAAGCCCGGAGAUAGCUGGUUCUCCUCGAAAACUAUUUAGGUAGUGCCUCGUGUCUAACCAUGGGGGGUAGAGCACUGUUAAGGCUAGGGGGUCAUCUCGACUUACCAACCCUUUGCAAACUCCGAAUACCCAUGAGUUCAAUCACGGGAGACACACGGCGGGUGCUAACGUCCGUCGUGAAAAGGGAAACAACCCAGACCGUCAGCUAAGGUCCCAAAGUUACAGUUAAGUGGGAAACGAUGUGGGAAGGCUAAAACAGCUAGGAGGUUGGCUUAGAAGCAGCCACCCUUUAAAGAAAGCGUAAUAGCUCACUAGUCGAGUCGGCCUGCGCGGAAGAUAUAACGGGGCUCAAACUGUACACCGAAGCUACGGAUGCCAUUUAUGGCAUGGUAGAGGAGCGUUCUGUAAGCCGUCGAAGGUCAAGGUGUGAACCAGGCUGGAGGUAUCAGAAGUGCGAAUGCUGACAUGAGUAACGAUAAUGGGAGUGAAAAACUCCCACGCCGGAAACCCAAGGGUUCCUGUCCAACGUUAAUCGGGGCAGGGUUAGUCGGCCCCUAAGGCGAGGCUGAAAAGCGUAGUCGAUGGGAAGCAAGUUAAUAUUCUUGCACCUCUUUAUAAUGCGAUGGGGGGACGGAGAAGGCUAGGCCAGCACAGCGUUGGUUGUCUGUGUUUAAGGUGGUAGGCAGAGGACUUAGGCAAAUCCGGGUCCUUAAUGCCGAGAACUGAUGACGGUGACUCUACGGAGUCCGAAGUGGUCGAUGCCAUGCUUCCAGGAAAAGCCUCUAAGCUUCAGUUAUAAAGAGACCGUACCCCAAACCGACACAGG
RNAcentral lists this ribosomal RNA (1615 nucleotides) under Thalassolituus oleivorans 4BN06-13. RNAcentral's name for it is "partial 23S ribosomal RNA". It matches the Rfam family "Bacterial large subunit ribosomal RNA", at positions 1 to 1663 of the family's 2925-position model. Lineage: Bacteria; Pseudomonadati; Pseudomonadota; Gammaproteobacteria; Oceanospirillales; Oceanospirillaceae. The record is from RNAcentral.